UACGAAGGGUGCUAGCGUUGUUCGGAAUUACUGGGCGUAAAGCGCGCGUAGGCUGUUUUACAAGUCAGGGGUGAAAUCCUGGGGCUCAACCCCAGAAUUGCCUUUGAAACUGUAAGACUUGAGUGUCGGAGGGGAUAGCGGAAUUGCUAAUGUAGAGGUGAAAUUCGUAGAUAUUAGCAGGAACACCGGUGGCGAAGGCGGCUAUCUGGACGACAACUGACGCUGAGGCGCGAAAGCGUGGGGAUCAAACAGG
RNAcentral lists this ribosomal RNA (253 nucleotides) under uncultured bacterium. Its description in RNAcentral is "partial 16S ribosomal RNA". It matches the Rfam family "Bacterial small subunit ribosomal RNA", at positions 524 to 776 of the family's 1533-position model. The record is from RNAcentral.